UAACUCUGGUCUUCCCUCAAAUCGUAUAAAUCUUUCGCCUUUUACUAAAGAUUUCCGUGGGGAGGACAAAUGAAGAGUGUACCAACACAAAUUUUUUUAAGGGCCUCAUCAUUGGCCUG
Gigantopelta aegis is the source of this 119-nucleotide small nuclear RNA. RefSeq annotates it as U5 spliceosomal RNA. The record is from RefSeq and is a predicted model, not a curated record. The transcript has a single exon. Lineage: Eukaryota; Metazoa; Mollusca; Gastropoda; Neomphalida; Peltospiridae.